Molecule: non-coding RNA, 730 nt
Organism: Erythranthe guttata (spotted monkey flower)
Lineage: Eukaryota; Viridiplantae; Streptophyta; Magnoliopsida; Lamiales; Phrymaceae
Source: RefSeq, a predicted model, not a curated record
CUGCUUCUGCUUCUGAUUCUGCUUCUGCUUUUGAUGAUAAUAAGUAUCCCAUAUAUUUUCGAGCUUCCGUUAACAACCUUUAUACGUGUGUUGAGUAUGUUGAAAUUGUCCGUGAUGCUCACCUGCACACUCUCGAUUAUAAUCUUCCGAAGAAGAAGGAGCCCGUAGAUAUGUUUCGAGAUGGCCCUGUGUUGUACGGCCCAGAUUGCACCACCUGCUGUGAUGAUGAAACAAAGAAUAUUCUCAACGAAUCUACCGAUUUAGCUCUUCAAGUCCGCAACAAUACCCAUAUUAAAAAAUACAAUUUGCCGGUUCUGGUGAGUGCAACUGGACAUAUAUCCACAGACUCUAACUCUAAGGUGGAUUUGAUGUUUACCGCCGAGCCUGAUCCUUUGCUGGAAGACAGUGAUGCGAAACCGAGAACUUUUCGAGCUCGGGUUUUCUUCCUACACAAGUAUGUAGAGUUUGUUGGUCUCCUCCCUCCUCCUACUAACCUUACCUGCUAAUAAUAGGUAAUCGAUUUUUUUCAUUUUUCUUUUCUUAACCAAAGUUUUGUACUCUUCAUAUACCUAUGUACAUUUCAAUGAAUAGAGAAUCCUUAACUUCUUCCAAGACCGUCAUCGAGAAAUCUAUUUUGUCUGAAACUGAUGAUUUGAUUGCUCGGAUAAUCUUUUGUUUGGUUUGAUUUUAUUCUGUCUUAGAAUGUUCCUUUGUCCGUUGCCCCGUUUUU